UGAAAUCAAUAUACGUAGUCCCCCUUCUAGUCGCUAGGUGGCACCACAGCUUUAAAGCAGAGCCAAAAAACUGUGGAAUAACUUACCAUGGACGGUAUAUUCGCCAUCUAUGGUCUUAACCUCAUUCCUCUUUUUGUGCUUUGGUGGCACAUGUUCAUUUUUAUUCGGCGUCGGUGUUUUCAGCUUUUUUCAGCGUUUUUGGAAGUUAAUUGGAGAAGUACAAGUGAGAUUUACGUUAUUCCUUAUCGGAUGAAGAAAGAACCUACCUACGACGAAAGAUUAAAUCUUUCCAUCCGCGAUUACAUAAUCGCUAGUGGCGUGGUUCCCAUCAACGAGAUUUUCUUACAAUUGGGAGACGAUUUCUUCAUCGUCCGGGUUCCGAUCGGAAUCCCCAGAACUCGAAAGACCCCCCAUCUUUCCCACUUAUACGACAGCAGUCGUAUGUAAGUGUUUCACAAUUGGAAGCAAUCCUUUUGUGAGGGGGUCGGCCAUACAUAUGGUUUUAUAUUUUUUCGACAUCGAAAAAAUAGAGUUUUCUGGCUCGUCCGGCUAUGGAUGAGGCGCCCGGGAUACUGGGACAUAAUGAACAAUUUUUUAUGGCUGUUGGAAUGCAUUUACUCCAUCGUAAGUAUAUUUUUUAGGCCCUUCAAUUAAUUCUGAUGUCAUUGUUGAGCCCCUUGAGACGGAUUUAAAGCAAAAUGGCCUUUAAGCUAUGGGGUCGAUAGUCCCAACACAAAGUUUGAUGUGUCAUGACAUUUUGGCAAGUCAGAUUAAUACCUUUUUGAAAUCCGGUGUGUCCGAAGAUUGUCUCAGUGACCUUUUGCGUUGAUAUCCUGUGCCGAAGAAUUGCCCGCUCAAUAACUCUCCUAAAUUGAAUGUGCAGAUGAAAUCUGCCAUCAACAAAGGUGGAAAGAAAAGGGAUGAGAGACUGACUGCAACAAGGGGUGCUUUGAUGGUGGUUGGUAGGACGCUCUUGACCUUGCUUUUGAAACCGGUUAAGGAUGAGUAGUACUUACUUCUCAUCGAAAUGUUGAGUAAUGCAAUAUUUGUUUUAAGCAAAAUACACCAUUUAGGUUCAGUAUAUAGAAGUUCAGCCGCGUUAAGCCUUUCGCUGGUCUCAAAUGAAAUGCAGCCUUGUAUGAAGGAAGUGCUCGUUGAUGCUUCUUUGCACUCUUGUUUAUAUGGAGAAGAUUUGGCUGAUAGGCUCAAAUCAAUCAGAUUAGCUGCAGAUUAGUGGCCGAGUUAAAGUCAGGUGCAUCCGGAACAAGGCUUUUAUAGCAUACAAAUUUAAACUCGACCGUCCCACUUCGUUCCCGGAAGUUGCAAGGCUGAAGUGGGUGAAAGUCAUUGUACCCUCAAAAGAGGGAAUACAGGAAGGUUCGAGAGGAAAGGGGGUGGAGUUGUGUCCCCAGGAAAAAAUAAACUCAAGAUGCACAGAUUCUACCUUGGUUAGAUGGAUAUAAAAUUCCAUUUGCGAGGCCAGUUAUACAGGACUUGAUUACGACAGAUCCUGUUUGUUCCCAACAAGAAAAAGAUUCAAUUUGUAAUGUGGUCAAACACCUGUUAGAGAUAAGUGCAAUUGCAGUUUGCGAACCUUGUAAGAAUCAAUUUAUUUUACAGAUCUUUUUGGUUUCAAAAUUGGAUGGUUCGGUUUGAUUAGUUUUAAAUUUAAAGAAACUGAAUGCUUUUAUUGACACUUGUCAUUUUAAACUGGAAGACAGAAAAUUAGUAGAAACACUCUUCACAAGGAAGUCCUUUAUGACCACUCUGGACUUGAAAGAAGCUUACUUUCUAGUCCCAAUAAUUGAAAAUCAAAAGAAUUUUCUAAGAUUUUAUUUUGAUGCUCUCUGUUAUCAGUUUAACGUGUUACCCUUUGGUUUAUGCACCGCCCCGUGGGCCUUUACAGAAUUAAUGAAAUCUGUGGUUUCUUAUCUCCCUGCCAAGGCUUUUCCCUCAAUAGUUUAUUUAGAUAACUUUACUAUUUGGUGAUAGUUAGCUAUCCUUAAAAAAUGUUCAAGUAACUUGCAACACACUGAUUAGGUUGGGUUAUGUUAUUAAUUAUAAGAAUGUUUUACAUCCUUCGAAAUCCCGUAAAUUUUUAGGUUUUGUUUUUUUGAAUCCCACCACUUGUUUUUCUGAUGAGUAAGUAAGUUUUGCAAUUUGAACCAUUGCGAAAUAAGAGUCUUUGCCGAGCUUUGUGCUGUGCUAGUUUUCAGUUUGCCCAGCAGUUUGUUACAGUUGGGUAUAUACUAAGAAUUUUUGAGAGAAUCAAAUAUCUAGCCCUUCAAGACUCUGUCGAUAAUUAUGAUAUUUGGAUGAUAAUUCCUUGUAAUUUACGGAGGGAUUUUAUGUGAUGGCUAAAAAGUUUACAGAAUCCUGAAUGCCCUGUAAGGCAGCAAUGUUACAAACUUGAGAUUUUCUCAGAUGGUACUCCUUUGGGUUGGGGAAUUGUGCCAGAGGACUUUGGAGUCCUAGGGAAGCUCAGUUUCAUAUUAAUGCACUAGAAUUAACUGCGGCCUCAUUUGGUCUCUAAUGCUUCGCCUCGUAUUUGACUAACUGCGAGACACUUUUGAGGAUUGAUAAGACAACUGCUAUUUUGUAUGUAAAUAGAAUAGGGUGAGUAAAAUUUCCUGUUUUAAACGAAAUUUCGAGGCGCCUUGGGGUUGGUGUGAAGAAAGGAGGUUAUGGGUUAAAGCAUCUUACAUUCGAUCUUCCGAUAAUUUUGAAGCGCAUAAGGAACCCACGAAUUUGAAUUUUGAUGGUGAAUGGUACCUUUCGGACAAUGCUUUUGCUAAAAUAACAAGCAAAUUUGGAUUCCCAUAAAUCGAACUGUUUGCUUCUCGCCUAAGUAAGAAAUGCGGAAAGUUUAUUUCCUAAUUUCCAGAUCCGGAGGCAUCUAAUGAAGACGCGUUUACUGUUUUUUGGAGCGACAGUUUCUUCUAUGUUUUCCCCCCGUUUUGCUUGUUGCCACUUGUUUUACGAAAAAUCAAGGCUGAUUGAGCUACAGGGAUCGCAGUAAUCCCUUACGGGCACAGCCAGCAUUGACAAAUUACCUUCUUCUUUUGACAGGAGAGGUCACCCUUUGUGGAAAUCCCUUACCCUGGCUGCAGGGAUUUUGUCAGGCAAGCAUUCCAGAAGAUUUGCUGGAUAUUUUUCUAUCAUCUGUUCAGAGCGCUACCUUGAGGCAUUUAUUACCUGCAUGCAUUUAAACUUUGGUGGAGCUUCUACGAAAGGAGGGGAGUGGAGUGUUAUUACUUCUCACCUAGGCUGUAUUAGAUUUCCUUACUAUUCAUUUUAGACA
Long non-coding RNA from Cylas formicarius (sweet potato weevil), 3301 nucleotides. RefSeq lists it as uncharacterized. The record is from RefSeq and is a predicted model, not a curated record. NCBI's taxonomy places the organism in Eukaryota, Metazoa, Arthropoda, Insecta, Coleoptera, Brentidae. The transcript is spliced from 3 exons.